GAUGAACGCUGACAGAAUGCUUAACACAUGCAAGUCGACUUGAACUUCGGUUUGGGUGGCGGACGGGUGAGUAACGCGUAAAGAACUUGCCUCACAGAUAGGGACAACAUUUGGAAACGAAUGCUAAUACCUGAUAUUAUGAUUUUAGGGCAUCCUAGGAUUAUGACAGCUAUAUGCGCUGUGAGAGAGCUUUGCGUCCCAUUAGCUAGUUGGAGAGGUAACGGCUCACCAAGGCGAUGAUGGGUAGCCGGCCUGGGAGGGUGAUCGGCCACACGGGGACUGAGAAACGGCCCUUACGCAUACGGGAGGCAGCGGUGGGGAAUAUUGGACAAUGGACCAAGAGUCUGAUCAAGCAAUUCUGUGUGCACGAUGAAGUUUUUCGGAAUGUAAAGUGCUUUCAGUUGGGAAGAAAAAAAUGACGGUACCAACAGAAGAAGUGACGGCUAAAUACGUG
Molecule: ribosomal RNA, 454 nt
Filed under: uncultured bacterium
Lineage: Bacteria
Description: partial 16S ribosomal RNA
Rfam family: Bacterial small subunit ribosomal RNA
Source: RNAcentral